CUCAGCUUGGCGAAUAUGUCUAUGCCUAACCAGUUGCGCGCGCAACUCCAAUCGUCGCCGUCGCUGCGUUAUGUAGAUCCGUGCGCGCGUGCCCCACCUGGUCCCACCUAACAACCCAUAUUCGCAUUUUCUCAGCGUGAUACGCGGCAGGAAUACAGUCACAUCGUAUCUCCCUCGUUCUCUCGUUCCCCACCGCCCCUGUUCCUUCUCUUCUCGUUCCCCAUCUCCAUCUCCAUCGAAUCCGGCGCACCGCCGGCUCCCUCCUCCGCCACCAUGGCCACUCACCGCCGGGUCGCUCCUCCAUGGCCUCGAGCCCUCUCCCCUGUGACGUUCUUCUUCACCCAUAGGCGAUUGUUCUCCACCCACGCCCUGCUGCCUCUAUCGUCAGAUCCGCCAUCGAGGUAAGAUGGAGCAGCAUGGCUACCUCAUCGCCAUCGAGCCUCCUGGUGAGAGGAUGCCGGGCAUCGACGAACAACGAGCAGCAGCAUCACCACCACUGUGAGCAGAUCGGUGAUGGAAAUCUACGCAUUAAGGCAGUGAGGAGUCAAGCGGCUCGGCGGCAAAGCCCAGACACACACCUCCCGCAAGCACGCCGGUGGUCAAGACCUCCAACUCAUCUUCCCCGUCUUCCUCAGAGCUUUCGGGAAAUGACUGCUCUUGUUUUGCCCCUCUCCACAAACAGGAAAACGGAUUGAUCUUAAUGUACUUUUGUAAUUCAUAGUUGAGGUAAUAUCACUAGAAGUCAUAGAACUUGUUUUCGAUGUUCAGUUUGAUGUUAGAACUUUAAAAAUACGGAUUUAUGGUCGCCAAACUUGGGUUCUCGUGCAAAUACGGUUACUUUGCCCGUAUCCAGCACUUAAGUGGCAUGCCAACAUGGCUAUGGGCCACUGUCAGUGACCGGAGCAAGUGUGCGCAUGUUUUUUAGAAACAUCUCUGCCCUAUAUUUAAUUGUGCAGCAGCACGUGUGGGUCCCACUUGACAGUCUGUUAGAUGAAUAAAGGCCAGCGGGCUGUCGCUGCCGCUGCGUUGUGUUUUUCCUUGUAGUCUAAUCCGUCCAAUUUCACGUCGUCAUGUACAAACAUGCCCUGUGCCAACCACUGCACCGAGCACAUUUUCAUGUCUAUGAAGAGAUACAUCAUCUUUUA
This is a long non-coding RNA of Aegilops tauschii subsp. strangulata, 1145 nucleotides long. RefSeq lists it as uncharacterized. NCBI's taxonomy places the organism in Eukaryota, Viridiplantae, Streptophyta, Magnoliopsida, Poales, Poaceae. The record is from RefSeq and is a predicted model, not a curated record.